RNAcentral lists this ribosomal RNA (253 nucleotides) under uncultured bacterium. RNAcentral describes it as "partial 16S ribosomal RNA". It matches the Rfam family "Bacterial small subunit ribosomal RNA", at positions 524 to 776 of the family's 1533-position model. The record is from RNAcentral.
UACGUAGGGUGCGAGCGUUAAUCGGAAUUACUGGGCGUAAAGCGUGCGCAGGCGGUUUUGUAAGCCAGAUGUGAAAUCCCCGGGCUUAACCUGGGAAUGGCAUUUGGGACUGCAAGGCUGGAGUGUGGCAGAGGAGACUGGAAUUCCCGGUGUAGCAGUGAAAUGCGUAGAUAUCGGGAGGAAUACCGAUGGCGAAGGCAGGUCUCUGGGCCGUAACUGACGCUGAGGAGCGAAAGCGUGGGGAGCGAACAGG